AGCGUGUCCAUUCUCAGACCUUGGAAAGAAAAAACACGAGAAAAAAACAAACAAAGAAGACAAAUUUUUGAUAUCUUGCAAGAUACCGUAGAUUUCCUUGUGAGACCGUUUGUUGUUGAUGGCCCUAACGAGGGUUUGAUUGUCUGAGAGUGCUCGAAGAUGAGUUAAUCCAAUGGAGAUGGCUUCUGUGAUCGCGGAUCUCAUAGCCAGAGCCUCUGCAAUCAACGCAGAGUCGACAUAGGUCUCGACCUUGGUUCCACUGAAAUUAGGAAGAUGUUGCGGACCUGAGAAGAUCCAGGCCAUGCCCGCCCUUUUUGUGAUUGCAUCCCAGGCUGCAUCUGAUUUGCAUGUCGAUAUGGGGAGAUCUAGGUUAUGGAGAGAAUUGAUCGUUUCUUCGUUGCUAUGUCGUGGUUGUGAUUCCUGUCGUGGCUGAGAUUCUGGGGUCUGGCGUUUCUCGAAGAUUAGGGUGUUCAUGGAGAUCCAAAGAGCCCACGCCAGCCAUGAUAGUAGGUUGGAAGUCAUGCCCGUUGGUGGGCCGUUUAGGACUUUCCUUAAUCUGACAAGCGCUGUAGCCAAGUCCUGACACGCAGCUAUGUGAACCGCAGGGGAGAAGGACAAGUAUUGCCAAAUUUGAAUUGCAUAGGGGCAUUGAAAAAAGAUGUUAUAGCCCAGAGGAAUUGCCUUAUGAAUCACUGACCAGAGGAACACUUUAAUUUUUGGAGAGCCCGAGUUAUUCCAGAUAUCUUUCCUCCAGCUAAAUUCAUCUUGAUUCGUAGAGCUGGGGAGAUUACUUUCCUUUGAAGCAGUGGUGGAGUGGUAGCCAGACUUUGCUGUAUAUAUUCCAUCUUUUGCUGGCUUUCAUAUAUAGGCAUCUUCAGAUUCUAGAAGGCUAGGCCUCAGCGCCAGGAUCUGCGUGGAGAGCAAAGGUCCAAAUGGUCGCAUCUCAUGAGAAAGGGAGAUCCAUGAGUCUUGCCAUACUUUGGUAGUUAGGCCAUUUCCGAUCACCUUUCCCAGUCCAGCCUUUAGUAGAUCUCUGCCGUGAGAGCAUGAAGGAGGUGUUGCCACUUCUAGAAAGCUCUUCUUACUGCAAUACUUUCCGGGAGCAGGAAGCAUGAUAGAGUAUAAGUGGGGAUUGCCUGAAGAAUCGUCUUAAGCAAAUGUCAUCUUGCCUGCUUUGGAGAGUUGUUUGGAGGACCAACUCUAGGCCCUCUGUCAAAUUCUAUCUACUAUGGCUGUAAACAGAUCCUUUUUUCGACGACCGAAAUGCUCUGGGAGCCCAAGGUACUUCCCAUUCCCUCCCUCUCUUUGAAUUCCAAGGAUUUGUUUGGCUGCUUCUUUGAUGUCGUUUGGUGUUUUACUCGAAAACGUGAUUGAUGACUUUUGCACAUUUAUUUUUUGUCCGGAUGCUGACUCGUAUUCUUGGUGUAUGCUGAGGAGGGUGGCGCAGCUUGUCUGAUCUGAGUGGUAGAAGAACAUUGUAUCGUCAGCAAACAGGAGGUGGUUCACCCUGGACUUCCUCUAGCCACUCUGACCCCCUGGAGUGAACCGUCUUGCGCCGCUUGUUUGCACAAUCCCGACAGAACCUCUCCGCAAGGGAUGAAUAUGUAUGGAGAUAGGGGAUCUCCCUGCCUGAUUCCACAGUGCCCUGUUCUGAAGAAAGCUUGGACUUCCUUGGUGAUUGCUUCUCCUAUAACUUGCCAAUAUGCUCCUAUAACGCGCCUCUACUGUUUGGGUCCAAGAUCGAUAUUAGGGGUCUAUGAUCAGAACCUGCAAACUUCAUAUAAUUGCAGUGACAGGAUGGGAAGAUCUCUGACCACUCAUUGUUUCCAAUAGCUCUGUCAAGCCUGCAAUGAACCAGGUUCACCAUAUACGAAAGGUGGAGUGAAAGGAGACGCCUUUGAAGAUGAUAUUGGUGUCGAUGAAGUUGUUUGAUUUUGAUAGGAUCGUAAUGUCCACUUCAUUCUUCCAGCCUAGGUAAAGCCUGCCUCCUCCAGGGGACUGUGGAGGAACACCACAUUUGGAGAGUUCACUCGGUGAAUCUCUCUUAAAUGCUGGACUGUCAUGGGGUUCCCAAUCCCACUACAGUUUCAGCUCGCUACAGCUAAGGACCCUGAGGCAGAGGGUCGUGAAAAUCCUUUCUCUUUUCUGAGAUCGCUGGUACAAUCACCGCUCUUGGUGGUGCUGUAGAUGAGGCAGUUUUUGAGCUCCUGCUAUUUCCUGCCUUGAAUGCUCUUUUCUGACCUUGAGAUCUUGCUGGAGAGGUUGUUUUAUUUGGACAGUGACCAUGUUCUCAUCUUCGUUGGAAGCAGGAGAGGGGGCGACGAUGGUUGGUUGUUCUUCGUUAGCUACCAAUAAUUUAUCCUGGUGUGAGGAACCCUCCGCUGUUGAAUUUGCCAUAAUACUAGCAAUGGUCUCCUCAACCAGUCCUCUAGCUUCGCUUUGAGUCACACGAUGGCGUCUUGCUUCUUGUUCUGUUGGGUCAGCACAACUAAGGUUCAGAUAGGGGUCAGCAGUCUCUUCGUGCUAGAAGCACGUCAAUGUGUUCAUAGGAGGAGGAGUGUUCAGAAUUUUGUUACUGCUCUCCGGAGUAUCGCUUAAGAUCAGUGGUGGAUUCGUUGCUGCAGCUAUUAUAGGUCUAGUUGUCUCUUCAUUGAGACCUCUUGCUUCUCCUGCUUGUACUCAUAGCUUUCGUGAUGCUGCUUCCAUGGGAUCUGGGCAGCUAAGCGUGAUCGUUGCUGGUGAGUUGCCUUGGAACAGACUCAAUGGGUUUCUUCCUCCACUGCCAAGUAUCUCUUUCCAGGAAAAGAGGUUUUACGUUGCAAGAGAGGCUUGGUUGGACCUUCCUAGAGUGCACAUAGGGGGUGAGUCAUAACUUGUGUUCCUUGAGGUGUGGUUGCUUCUUCCCUGGUAGCCAUCUAUCGUCUGGGCUUUACCCACCGGAGGGGGUUUCCUAGCUAGUCUGUUUUGUACUCACCCGCAGACCAAACUUACUACCGUGUCUUUCUACCCUCUGAUGGAACUCCUCCCCGUUCCCUGGCUCAUCGUCGCUGUUGAAGACGGAUCUGGCUUCCUCACAGGAGAAACGGGCAGUGUGUUUUCUGGUGGGAGAGAAGUAGACAGUGGGAGCAGUGGUUCUCCAAGCGUUCGUAUUCCAAAGUAAUAUUUGUUUCUUCACCCGACUUAAACUCUAUGAUAGUUUCCUUGGUCUUGGCAUAUGCUACGGAGCAUCCUUUCAUGUGAGUAGUGGAAUGGGAGUCCUUUGAUUCGGAUCCAAAAGGGAAUCAUUGAGGGAAAAGCAUCAGAGAUGAUGGGUUCCCAUUGUUGCAGGAGGAUCAUCCAGUAGUUGAAGUGGUAUGGUCUGUUCUCCAAGACUUUUAGCAAAUCUUCCUCCAGCUCAAACCUGAACUGGAAACAAUUGUGACCUAAGUCAGAUCCCACUACUCUUCCUUGGAUAUUCCAUUUUCGAGGCAGUGAUAGAAUAAGAGUCCAAACUCUUUGUUUUGCUGGAUUAGUAAGCCUUCCGGUGAGGGUGAGAGCGUUGUCUUUGAUGAGUGCAGAUGUAUUGAGAGACGGAGCCCUGACACGCUUCAGUUGUUUCUCCUCUGGUUCUCCAGCUAUCCCUUUGCCCUUCUCAGCUGCUGUUAGACGUCUCUCCAUGGUAGAGAGAAAGCUUUACUGGAAAUUUGUGUAGAGACUUGUUGUUGAAGCUUCAGAGAGUCGUUGUAGAUCUAUAGAUUCUUCAGAUUGUUUCCAAGACUAAGUAGAUCUGAAUUUUGAAGAUUGAAGUUGGUUGAAGAUCUGAUGGAGAUGAAGCGGAUGGUGCUAUUUUAGGCUAAGGAUUAGGGUUGCGACUGGUUCCUUGGCUGCUUUAAUUUGUAAGGUUUCUAAAAACGGAAGCUAGAACGAGUUGUCAUCUAUGUAUAUGGUUUACUUAACAAACAAACAAGCAAGUGGUGAACUCAUCAUGAUCUUUGUACUUGUGAUACAGUUCGAAAUUUGGUCAAGCCACAGUAGGAUCGAUUCAACUAUAGGAAAGAAAAUA
Molecule: long non-coding RNA, 4042 nt
Organism: Brassica oleracea var. oleracea
Lineage: Eukaryota; Viridiplantae; Streptophyta; Magnoliopsida; Brassicales; Brassicaceae
Exons: 14
Source: RefSeq, a predicted model, not a curated record